RNAcentral lists this long non-coding RNA (694 nucleotides) under Marmota monax (woodchuck). The record is from RNAcentral. Lineage: Eukaryota; Metazoa; Chordata; Mammalia; Rodentia; Sciuridae.
GUGUUUUGCAGGACUGAUACGCUCUGGCCUCUGGCUCCUGGUUGCCCUUUGGUGGAGCCCUGGCCCCUGCGCCUGACCAGCCUUGACUUUGCCUGUGGUAGUCAUCCCUGCUUCUGCCCCUGCCACACCUCCACACCGAGAAGCAUCCUGCUGGGAGGGCUUCCUCUGCUGGGGCGCUCUGCGCUCACCUGUCUCCCUUGUCGGACUUGGAGUCUGAAGAGGAGGCCCAGACCGUCUUAGUCAACCUGCCACAGCCACAGCCUUUCCAUUCCAGGGCCUCGCCUCCUCACGCAGCAGCCCAUGACAACCGGAUGGACACUGGAGGGAGGCCGGGCUGACUCCGGGAGCAUGCCAGGCAGCCACACCUGGAUGCACCAGAGCUGGACGCACCUUUCCUCUUAGUGUAUUAAUCACCUGUGGAAUAAUGGCUAAAACAAGAACUGGGAGGUUCAGCGCACCCCCCCAAGCUCGGCCAGCAGCAGAGUGAGCACGUUCGACCUGGGGAAGGACACUUCUGUGGACAGGGCCUCCAGUGAAACUUCAGCGUCUUGGCUGAGCGUGUCUCCAGGCCUGGAGCCGUUGUUCGUCAGGGGCUGGCUGAGGGGUAGCUCAUCUCUGACACUGCUCAUCCCAUUCAUCAGAUGAGUAAGAGUUGUCCCCGUACGCACCAGCGGCCUGUGCUGACAUCUCUCGC